Molecule: ribosomal RNA, 1470 nt
Filed under: metagenome
Description: bacterial SSU rRNA
Rfam family: Bacterial small subunit ribosomal RNA
Source: RNAcentral
AGAGUUUGAUCCUGGCUCAGGACGAACGCUGGCGGCACGCUUAACACAUGCAAGUCGAACGAGAGAAGAGGAGCUUGCUUUUCUGAUCUAGUGGCGGACGGGUGAGUAACACGUGAGCAAUCUGCCUUUCAGAGGGGGAUACCGAUUGGAAACGAUCGUUAAUACCGCAUAACAUAAUUGAACCGCAUGAUUUGAUUAUCAAAGAUUUAUCGCUGAAAGAUGAGCUCGCGUCUGAUUAGCUAGUUGGUAAGGUAACGGCUUACCAAGGCGACGAUCAGUAGCCGGACUGAGAGGUUGAUCGGCCACAUUGGGACUGAGACACGGCCCAGACUCCUACGGGAGGCAGCAGUGGGGAAUAUUGCACAAUGGAGGAAACUCUGAUGCAGCGAUGCCGCGUGAGGGAAGAAGGUUUUAGGAUUGUAAACCUCUGUCUUCAGGGACGAAAAAAGACGGUACCUGAGGAGGAAGCUCCGGCUAACUACGUGCCAGCAGCCGCGGUAAUACGUAGGGAGCGAGCGUUGUCCGGAAUUACUGGGUGUAAAGGGAGCGUAGGCGGGAUCGCAAGUCAGAUGUGAAAACUAUGGGCUUAACCCAUAAACUGCAUUUGAAACUGUGGUUCUUGAGUGAAGUAGAGGUAAGCGGAAUUCCUAGUGUAGCGGUGAAAUGCGUAGAUAUUAGGAGGAACAUCAGUGGCGAAGGCGGCUUACUGGGCUUUAACUGACGCUGAGGCUCGAAAGCGUGGGGAGCAAACAGGAUUAGAUACCCUGGUAGUCCACGCCGUAAACGAUGAUUACUAGGUGUGGGGGGACUGACCCCUUCCGUGCCGCAGCAAACGCAAUAAGUAAUCCACCUGGGGAGUACGACCGCAAGGUUGAAACUCAAAGGAAUUGACGGGGGCCCGCACAAGCAGUGGAGUAUGUGGAUUAAUUCGAAGCAACGCGAAGAACCUUACCAGGCCUUGACAUCGUAUGCAUAGCUCAGAGAUGAGUGAAAUCUCUUCGGAGACAUAUAGACAGGUGGUGCAUGGUUGUCGUCAGCUCGUGUCGUGAGAUGUUGGGUUAAGUCCCGCAACGAGCGCAACCCUUACUGUUAGUUGCUACGCAAGAGCACUCUAGCAGGACUGCCGUUGACAAAACGGAGGAAGGUGGGGAUGACGUCAAAUCAUCAUGCCCCUUAUGACCUGGGCCUCACACGUACUACAAUGGCUGUCAACAGAGGGAAGCAAAGCCGCGAGGUGGAGCGAACCCCUAAAAGCAGUCUUAGUUCGGAUUGUAGGCUGCAACCCGCCUACAUGAAGUCGGAAUUGCUAGUAAUCGCAGAUCAGCAUGCUGCGGUGAAUACGUUCCCGGGCCUUGUACACACCGCCCGUCACGCCAUGGGAGUCGGUAACACCCGAAGCCUGUAGUCUAACCGCAAGGAGGACGCAGUCGAAGGUGGGAUUGAUGACUGGGGUGAAGUCGGAACAAGGUA